This is a non-coding RNA of Parelaphostrongylus tenuis, 72 nucleotides long. NCBI's taxonomy places the organism in Eukaryota, Metazoa, Nematoda, Chromadorea, Rhabditida, Metastrongylidae. The record is from the annotation of a GenBank genome assembly.
GGCCUCGGUCGUGCAGUGGUAGCACGCGCCCCCGGUGUGGGUGAAAUCCGAGUUCAACUCCCGUCUGAGCUC